This 495-nucleotide ribosomal RNA is filed under the name uncultured bacterium. Its description in RNAcentral is "partial 16S ribosomal RNA". It matches the Rfam family "Bacterial small subunit ribosomal RNA", at positions 28 to 523 of the family's 1533-position model. The record is from RNAcentral.
GAUGAACGCUGGCGGCGUGCUUAACACAUGCAAGUCGAACGAAGCGCUUAGGAUUGAUUCUUCGGAUGAUUUCUUUUGUGACUUAGUGGCGGACGGGUGAGUAACGCGUGGGUAACCUGCCUCACACAGGGGGAUAACAGUUAGAAAUGACUGCUAAUACCGCAUAACCCGAUAGGAUCGCAUGAUCCAGACGGAAAAGAUUUAUCGGUGUGAGAUGGACCCGCGUCUGAUUAGCUAGUUGGUGAGGUAACGGCCCACCAAGGCGACGAUCAGUAGCCAGCCUGAGAGGGUGAACGGCCACAUUGGGACUGAGACACGGCCCAAACUCCUACGGGAGGCAGCAGUGGGGAAUAUUGCAUAAUGGGGGAAACCCUGAUGCAGCGACGCCGCGUGAGUGAAGAAGUAUUUCGGUAUGUAAAGCUCUAUCAGCAGGGAAGAAAAUGACGGUACCUGACUAAGAAGCCCCGGCUAACUACGUGCCAGCCGCCGCGGUAA